Molecule: long non-coding RNA, 791 nt
Filed under: Chinchilla lanigera (long-tailed chinchilla)
Lineage: Eukaryota; Metazoa; Chordata; Mammalia; Rodentia; Chinchillidae
Description: lncRNA (ENSCLAG00000024955.1)
Source: RNAcentral
AGAAAUACUUUGUAGACAUUCAAUGAUUACUGAGAAAGUGGGUUUACUCGUGGGUGGGAAGGCAGGAGAGUUGCAUCGAUCUCCCUUUGUUUCAGGAGGACUAGGAGAAUUGCAAGCUGUCAGGCCAGACCUAGUUGUCUUCUAGUAAACAAGUUUAAGUCUAGCAACUUAGAAAAUGGCCUGUGAAGCUGGGACCUGUUGUACCAAGACUAAGAUUUGGGGUGAUUUCCCAGGUUCACUAUACCAAGCUCUCUCCCUCCAAAGUAGCAAAGCCUUCCUGUCCCGGCCAGCGCUUGCCGCACAUGGUUCUGGGCAGCUCUGGGUUGCGACCUCACCGAUCACGCACCCGCGCCCAGACCUACAGCCCUGCGCGCAGGACCAGGGCUUCUGGACCGAGGGCUCCUCGUGGGCCAAGCAGCCAGCUCUCGGCAUGACCAAGGGAAGCGCUCGCCUGGGCCAGCCUGGCUGAGGACAGCCUCAUCCUAUGCCUGUCCCUGGUCAGAGCCCUGCCUCAUCUGGGGUCACUUCUGGGCUGUCCUGUGGGGGAGGGGACCUCUGGAGCCUGACUGUUCAGAGGCAAUGGGAGAGGCUGGAGCUCGGAGAGGGCCACCCACGCCCUUCCAGGGACACCCCCUUGGGUCCUGGCCCCCACCUGGGUUUGCAGAACCCUCCAAGUCCCCAAACCCCACUCUGAUCGGCAGCUACCGCUGCCCCGCCACCCACCCGCGUCCGGCCUCCAGCCCCGUGUUCGAAGCCCUCUGGAUCCGGCUGCUGAGAGCGCCUGGGGUCCC